Long non-coding RNA from Chelonia mydas (Green sea turtle), 411 nucleotides. RefSeq lists it as uncharacterized. The transcript is spliced from 2 exons. NCBI's taxonomy places the organism in Eukaryota, Metazoa, Chordata, Testudines, Cheloniidae. The record is from RefSeq and is a predicted model, not a curated record.
UGGUUAAAGAUGAUUUGGCACAACAGGGUUUAAAGUCAAAAGCAGAGUUAACAGACGACCUUUAGAGACUGGAGCUGGGACUUGGUCCUGGGGGAGUGGAGAGAAUGAAGUUUCAAAGUACAAAAUGGCAUGGUUUGCAGGAGCAGGUCGGAUCUGGGUCUGAAGUUUUCAGCUCACGCCCCUCAGUUCUAAACUGCAGCAUCUGACAACUUGUUUGAAGAAGAUUUGGAGAAGAAACAACCUUGGACUGAAUGCACCCUCUCAAAUGCAGCCCUCUCAGCUUCUCCUCUGGCUUCUCUUCCAUCUACUGAACCUACCAAUUAUGUAGUAAUCCUUGUCCAGGACUUUGCAGUAGCCUUUCCCAGUAGCCACCUCCAUCGAGUACUCAAUCAAGAGCAGUAUGCUCAUGAC